AGGGUUAUAGCUCAGUGGUAGAGUGCAUGCUCAGCAUGCAUGAGGUCCUAGGUUCAAUCCCCAGUGCCUCCA
RNAcentral lists this transfer RNA (72 nucleotides) under Camelus bactrianus (Bactrian camel). It matches the Rfam family "tRNA". From Rfam's summary of the family: Transfer RNA (tRNA) molecules are approximately 80 nucleotides in length. Their secondary structure includes four short double-helical elements and three loops (D, anti-codon, and T loops). Further hydrogen bonds mediate the characteristic L-shaped molecular structure. tRNAs have two regions of fundamental functional importance: the anti-codon, which is responsible for specific mRNA codon recognition, and the 3' end, to which the tRNAs corresponding amino acid is attached (by aminoacyl-tRNA synthetases). tRNAs cope with the degeneracy of the genetic code in two manners: having more than one tRNA (with a specific anti-codon) for a particular amino acid; and 'wobble' base-pairing, i.e. permitting non-standard base-pairing at the 3rd anti-codon position. Lineage: Eukaryota; Metazoa; Chordata; Mammalia; Artiodactyla; Camelidae. The record is from Rfam by way of RNAcentral. RNAcentral also lists the same sequence under 3 other names.